This is a long non-coding RNA of Sinocyclocheilus rhinocerous, 635 nucleotides long. RefSeq lists it as uncharacterized. The record is from RefSeq and is a predicted model, not a curated record. Lineage: Eukaryota; Metazoa; Chordata; Actinopteri; Cypriniformes; Cyprinidae. The transcript has 3 exons.
CAAAGCAGGUGCCAGCAGCAACAAUGUAGCAACGUCACAACAAACGAACAACCAAACGUUCUAAACGCUUUCCAGGUUUGACAGCGUCUAUAAGGCAUUGCCUCGUGGUCAUAAUGAUGCCAAUGAGCAUUAACAGAAGCAGCAGGAAGAUUGCCAGGAUGUAGCCCACUUGGUGCAAUAGGCCUGGCAGGCGAGAGGGGAGAGGGACAAGGUUUCAUGUCAGAAUGGCCAAAACAGGCGUAAUGAGUUCCAGACCUGAUGUCAUGCCGCAGCAAUGGAGAAAAAAAACACAAACCACAAGAACGGGAAGCGAUAGUGCAGGCGGAGAGAAAUACCACCACUUCAUGGUCAGUCUGUCUGGAGACAUUUUCCACUUAUUUAGUGCCCCACAAUAAAAUUGAGAAUUUAGAUUUAAUCUGCUAAAUCUUCAGGGAUCGCAUGUCAGUAGUGUUUAUACGACCAAAUAAACCAAACAAACUCACUGAAUGCUGCUGUUUGUGUGUUUUACAGUAUUGUAAAUCUUGUUCUUGGCUUAACAACACAAAAAAUGACUUCUUCAUCCUAAAACUAACAGACAUUAUGAUUACUUUGAGUCAUUAUGUCUCAUCAUCGCAAUGAACAAUGAAGAAUCAAAU